Molecule: ribosomal RNA, 332 nt
Filed under: uncultured eukaryote
Lineage: Eukaryota
Description: partial 18S ribosomal RNA
Rfam family: Eukaryotic small subunit ribosomal RNA
Source: RNAcentral
CCCUUAGAUGUCCUGGGCUGCACGCGCGCUACACUGGAAGUUACGGAUUGAGAUACUACCUUGUCCGAAAUGGUCCGGGUAAUCACCUAAAAGCUUGUCAUAAUUGGAAUGGAUUAUUGUAACUAGUAAUCCUGAACGAGGAAUUCCUAGUAAGUCCCAGUCAACAGCUGGUACUGAUUACGUCCCUGCCCUUUGUACACACCGCCCGUCGCUACUACUGAUUGGACGUUUAAGCAAGAUUUUUAAACACUGACAGUGUGUAGUUCUCGCUAUACUACAGUGAGAAGAAGAAGAUCGAGCUUACUUGUCUAGAGGAAGUAAAAGUCGUAACA